This 559-nucleotide long non-coding RNA is filed under the name Rattus norvegicus (Norway rat). RNAcentral describes it as "long non-coding RNA NONRATT007790". Lineage: Eukaryota; Metazoa; Chordata; Mammalia; Rodentia; Muridae. The record is from RNAcentral.
GGGACCCUUCUCAGUGGAGGCUGACCCUUCCAGGUUCCGCUCUAUCCACUGCCAUCUGUACCCGGACACACCCUGGUGUCCCCGCACUGCCAUCCUCUAGCAACCAUGGUUGAGACCCUGUCCCUGGGUGCCCCUGGUAUCCAAAGGGCCCAGGGACCCCUGUUGUAUGUCCUGGCCUUGGUGUACGAGGCUCUUCAGGGCUCUGUGUAUGUGCGUAUGUCUAUAUUUGUGUGUUUGUGUGGCGUGCCCACCCAUGUUGCAGACUGCUGGGCAGUCGUGUUCUUCAGGGAGUGGCAGGUCUGUCCCUAACUACUCUAUACUCCAAGGGCAGUUCUGUGGGAUCUGUGUUUGGAUCUCUGCAGUGGGGGUGGGCGAGAGGACUCAGGGCUCCCGUCGGGUGUCCUCCCACCCACCCCAUGGGCUGUAUUCUGUGUUCUUUUUGCAAAGACCUUAGCUAGGCAAGCUAACAAUGAUAAGGGAAAAGCUCUCAGGGAACUGAUGUGUUGUUGCCAUGGUGACGUCCUUCCUCUGAAUAAAGGUGUUCUUUGCAGCAACCCAA